UACGUAGGGGGCAAGCGUUGUCCGGAUUAUUGGGCGUAAAGAGCGUGUAGGCGGCCAUACAGGUCAGCUGUGAAAACUCGAGGCUCAACCUCGAGACGUCGGCGGAAACCAUCUGGCUAGAGUCCGGAAGAGGAGAGUGGAAUUCCUGGUGUAGCGGUGAAAUGCGCAGAUAUCAGGAAGAACACCCGUGGCGAAGGCGGCUCUCUGGGACGGUACUGACGCUGAGACGCGAAAGCGUGGGGAGCGAACAGG
This 252-nucleotide ribosomal RNA is filed under the name uncultured bacterium. Its description in RNAcentral is "partial 16S ribosomal RNA". It matches the Rfam family "Bacterial small subunit ribosomal RNA", at positions 524 to 776 of the family's 1533-position model. The record is from RNAcentral.